UUUCCGUAGGUGAACCUGCGGAAGGAUCAUUAUUGAAAAAGACAAGACGCCCCGUUUUUUCGUAAAAUGGGUUCAAUACCCACAACCGUGUAUACCUUACCUUUUGUUGCUUUGGCAGGCCGCCUCCGGGCGUUGGCUUCGGCUGACAGCGCCUGCCAGAGGACCCAAACUCUGUGUUUAGUGAUGUCUGAGUAAUAUAUAAUAGUUAAAACUUUCAACAACGGAUCUCUUGGUUCUG
Molecule: unclassified non-coding RNA, 238 nt
Filed under: plant metagenome
Description: partial contains small subunit ribosomal RNA, internal transcribed spacer 1, and 5.8S ribosomal RNA
Source: RNAcentral